UAUUGGUCAAUGGACGCAAGUCUGAACCAGCCAUACCGCGUGCAGGAAGACGGCUCUAUGAGUUGUAAAAUGCUGUUGUACGAGGGUAAACGCAGAUACGAGUAUCUGUCUGAAAGUAUCGUACGAAUAAGGAUCGGCUACCUCCGUGCCCGCAGCCGCGGUAAUACGGAGGAUUCAAGCGUUAUCCGGAAUUAUUGGGUUUAAAGGGUGCGUAGGCGGUUUGAUAAGUUGGAGGUGAAAUGUUAGGGCUUAACCCUGAAACUGCCUCCAAUACUGUUGGACUAGAGAGUAGUUGCGGUAUGCGGAAUGUAUGGUGUAGCGGUGAAAUGCUUAGAGAUCAUACAGAACACCGAUUGCGAAGGCAGCUUACCAAACUAUAUCUGACGUUGAGGCACGGAAGCGUGGGGAGCAAACAGG
Molecule: ribosomal RNA, 417 nt
Filed under: uncultured bacterium
Lineage: Bacteria
Description: bacterial SSU rRNA
Rfam family: Bacterial small subunit ribosomal RNA
Source: RNAcentral